RNAcentral lists this long non-coding RNA (603 nucleotides) under Dasypus novemcinctus (nine-banded armadillo). Its description in RNAcentral is "lncRNA (ENSDNOG00000052624.1)". The record is from RNAcentral. Lineage: Eukaryota; Metazoa; Chordata; Mammalia; Cingulata; Dasypodidae.
UGAAGGAAGCUGGAGCGGGGGAGGGAAGCAGGGGAGGCGGCCGGCGCCCGGGCUCCUCGCCGAACAUCCGGGUCUCUCCGCCCCCCGGCCGGCUCGUUCCUCUCCGACGGCCGUUGACGGUUUACGUCGUGGUGGGUCCGGAGGCGCCGCUGGAAUCGAGGAGCCAGCCACGCGCCCUAAUCCCCCCGUCCGGCGCUCGGCUGCACAGGGGCUGGACGGAGGCUGAUAAAUGAGUCUGCGGAGAAACCAGGCGACUCCGGCUUGUAAAAGGUCACUUCGACUUCGUUCUGGGCCUUCCUCCCCGGGGAGGCUGCUCAUGACUCGAACCCAGAGCGCGAAUCCCACGCCAAAGAGACGCAUCUCGCCUCUCGGGCAGGAGGCUGCAUCGCAUACGCGGCCGAGCGUCCUGGAGAUGGACGGAAAACAGCCACUUUAGGCACAACGUUGACACGCCUGGCGGGGGCAGUGUGGGAGCAAACUUCCACCCGGGCCAGGACGUGGCACCCGGCGCAGACACGACCCGCGCGGCCGCCAGGUGAGAGCGCACCCGGGCCCCGGGGCCGAGGCGGCCUUGUGUGUGGGGGCGAUCGGGACAGACGUGGG